AGUGAACGCUGGCGGUAGGCCUAACACAUGCAAGUCGAACGGCAGCACAGUAAGAGCUUGCUCUUACGGGUGGCGAGUGGCGGACGGGUGAGGAAUACAUCGGAAUCUACUUUUUCGUGGGGGAUAACGUAGGGAAACUUACGCUAAUACCGCAUACGACCUACGGGUGAAAGCAGGGGAUCUUCGGACCUUGCGCGAUUGAAUGAGCCGAUGUCGGAUUAGCUAGUUGGCGGGGUAAAGGCCCACCAAGGCGACGAUCCGUAGCUGGUCUGAGAGGAGGAUCAGCCACACUGGAACUGAGACACGGUCCAGACUCCUACGGGAGGCAGCAGUGGGGAAUAUUGGACAAUGGGCGCAAGCCUGAUCCAGCCAUACCGCGUGGGUGAAGAAGGCCUUCGGGUUGUAAAGCCCUUUUGUUGGGAAAGAAAAGCAGCAGGUUAAUACCCCGCUGUUCUGACGUUACCCAAAGAAUAAGCACCGGCUAACUUCGUG
Molecule: ribosomal RNA, 492 nt
Filed under: uncultured bacterium
Lineage: Bacteria
Description: partial 16S ribosomal RNA
Rfam family: Bacterial small subunit ribosomal RNA
Source: RNAcentral